AGGGCCGCGGCGCGCCUAUUCGCCCGCGGGCUUCAAGGCCCGGUUGGCUGGGCGGGCGGCGGAAUGGGGAGCGCUCAUUGGCCGAGGGGAGGGACAUUGGGGUGGGGCAGGAAAGAGCCGGCUGCUGAUUGGGCUGGCCUGGUAAAGGCCUUCGGGCUCGCACCGGCUGUGCGCGGGCCGGAGGGCGGGCGGAAGGAAGCUGCUGUUAUAGCGAGGUCUGCCGUCUGCCAGGCUCUCGGCUGAGCAGGACCGUGAGGACCACGUGGUUCACCUUCCAACGUGCGGAUUUGGAAACUGGAGCCCAGAGAGCGCGCGGAGCGUGUCCAAGGUCACACAGCCGAUUAAAGACUCGAUCAGAGCUGGGUUUGGACGUGCUUAAUUGCCCUUGGAGUCCCUGUCCGGACCUCUGCGCUUACAAAAGUUUCGCGGAGGCGCGUCCUUAGACCAGUCAAUUUUAACAGCUACCUUAAACCAUUGGUGCUCCAACUUAGACCUAAAACAUGUGUAUAGAAGGAUAUAAAGAUCAUGUGUACUGACUAGGCGUGGCGACACACCUACAAUCUCAGUAUCUCCAAGGCCGAGGCAGCCUGAGCUACAGUCUGAGAUUUAAAAAAAAAAAAAAAAAAAAAAAAAAAACAACUGAUGUAUAACUAUAUAUGCUCGAUACUCCCUUAUCCUCCCCACCUGGGUACCCGGUCUGCAAGUCGGGUUCAGGAGCAGAUGGGUCCAGGAUUAAUGAAUGGCAUGUAGAUUUUACUACCUAGUUUUAACAUGUGAAGAAAUUGCGUACACUAGCCACAUUUGGGAAACCCCGAAGGUUUUAGUGUUUUCUGGAAGGACAGACCGGCUUGGCCAGCUAGCCUGUAAUUUCUUUGUUGUAUUCUUCAAUUUGUUUUUUUUUGACUGCUUCAUAUAUGUAUAUGAUAUGUUCUGAUUACAUUCACCCUAACCUUGAUUUUAAGUAAUUUUUUGGGGUAGCAUUCAAGUAUGGUUUUGGUGUGGGUUUCUAUUUUUGUUUUCUAAAGACAGCCUCAUGCAGCUCUGUCCGGCCUGGAACUCACUAGGUUGGACCAGGCUGUUCUUGAAUCAGAGCCACCUGCUUUUGCCCUCUAAAUGCAAGGAUUAAAGGCAUACAUCACCACA
This is a long non-coding RNA of Peromyscus californicus insignis, 1143 nucleotides long. RefSeq lists it as uncharacterized. The record is from RefSeq and is a predicted model, not a curated record. Lineage: Eukaryota; Metazoa; Chordata; Mammalia; Rodentia; Cricetidae. The transcript has 2 exons.